UACGGAGGGGGCUAGCGUUGUUCGGAAUUACUGGGCGUAAAGCGCACGUAGGCGGUUACUCAAGUCAGAGGUGAAAGCCCGGAGCUCAACUCCGGAACUGCCUUUGAAACUAGGUGACUUGAAUCAUGGAGAGGCGGGUGGAAUUCCGAGUGUAGAGGUGAAAUUCGUAGAUAUUCGGAAGAACACCAGUGGCGAAGGCGGCCCGCUGGACAUGUAUUGACGCUGAGGUGCGAAAGCGUGGGGAGCAAACAGG
This 253-nucleotide ribosomal RNA is filed under the name uncultured bacterium. RNAcentral describes it as "partial 16S ribosomal RNA". It matches the Rfam family "Bacterial small subunit ribosomal RNA", at positions 524 to 776 of the family's 1533-position model. The record is from RNAcentral.